AGCAGCCGCGGUAAUUCCAGCUCCAAUAGCGUAUAUUAAAGUUGUUGCAGUUAAAAAGCUCGUAGUUGAAUUUCGGGGUCAGUAGGUUGGUCAUGCCUUUGGUAUGUACUGGUCUCACUGAUUCCUCCCUCUUGAAGAACUGUAAUGUCAUUAAUUUGGUGUUGCGGGGAAUCAGGACUGUUACUUUGAAAAAAUUAGAGUGUUUAAAGCAGGCUUACGCUUGAAUACAUUAGCAUGGAAUAAUGAAAUAGGACGUUUGAUCCUAUUUUGUUGGUUUCUAGGAUUGACGUAAUGAUUAAUAGGGAUAGUUGGGGGCAUUAGUAUUCAAUUGUCAGAGGUGAAAUUCUUGGAUUUAUUGAAGACUAACUACUGCGAAAGCAUUUGCCAAGGAUGUUUUCAUUAAUCAAGAACGAAAGUUAGGGGAUCGAAGACGAUCAGAUACCGUCGUAGUCUUAACCAUAAACUAUGCCGACUAGGGAUCGGAUGAUGUUAAUUUUUUCAAUGACUCAUUCGGCGCCUU
Molecule: ribosomal RNA, 520 nt
Filed under: uncultured Glomus
Lineage: Eukaryota; Fungi; Glomeromycota; Glomeromycetes; Glomerales; Glomeraceae
Description: SSU rRNA
Rfam family: Eukaryotic small subunit ribosomal RNA
Source: RNAcentral